Molecule: long non-coding RNA, 607 nt
Organism: Homo sapiens (human)
Lineage: Eukaryota; Metazoa; Chordata; Mammalia; Primates; Hominidae
Product: long intergenic non-protein coding RNA 2269
Source: Ensembl
AUGCCAAAUUAAUCACACUUCUUAAACACAUCUCUUGACCGGGGUGUUCUCACCAUGCCCUUUCUACAAACAAAAAGAAUAUUAAAUAAAGUUCGAACGAAUCGAGUGACGCUGAACAAUAAACCUAUUUUGACUGCUAAUUGCUAAAUAAAGAAUGAAGAUGUGGAGACCUGGAGACAGGUGGCACCUCGUGCUUCCUCCGAAGGGAGAGCCCAUUUCCUAACAGCUGGAUCAAAGGCAUGAAAUGAACAUGGAGUCCCUGAAGAUGAAGAGAAGGCAUGGCUUCCAGGGAGAAAUUGUACAUUACAGGAAUGCAGAUGUGAUUCCUAUGGAUGAGGGUAACCUAGAGGCUAGAAGAACAAUAGGACAGAAGAAGCCUGGGUCCCUGAACAACCUUGUGGAGCAUAGACACCUACGUGGCCUGGACUGCCAGCUCACAAUGGGCCUCUCUGUGAGAGAAGGAAACUUCCCUCUUGUUUAAGCAACUGUGCUUUUGAGAAUCUCUUGGUCUAUACCCUAAUGAAUAAGGCCAUCAUAAAUGGAUAUCAAAGUAAGGAAAUUUGUGUAAAUGAUUUAAUAAAACAUUACCUCAGGUAUGAAAUAAUUC